AUACGGAGGGUGCAAGCGUUGUCCGGAUUUAUUGGGUUUAAAGGGUGCGUAGGUGGCGUGUUAAGUCAGUGGUGAAAGCCUGCAGCUCAACUGUAGAGGUGCCAUUGAUACUGACAUGCUUGAGUAUGGACGAGGUAGGCGGAAUUUGUGGUGUAGCGGUGAAAUGCAUAGAUACCACAAAGAACACCGAUAGCGAAGGCAGCUUACUGGACCAUAACUGACACUGAGGCACGAAAGCGUGGGGAGCGAACAGGAUUAGAAACCCCGGUAGUCC
This 274-nucleotide ribosomal RNA is filed under the name uncultured bacterium. RNAcentral describes it as "partial 16S ribosomal RNA". It matches the Rfam family "Bacterial small subunit ribosomal RNA", at positions 523 to 796 of the family's 1533-position model. The record is from RNAcentral.